This 241-nucleotide long non-coding RNA is filed under the name Mytilus galloprovincialis (Mediterranean mussel). Lineage: Eukaryota; Metazoa; Mollusca; Bivalvia; Mytilida; Mytilidae. The record is from RNAcentral.
GGGGGGGGGCCACUUCAAACUUUUUUUGGUAGGGGUGAGCAGCUGAGACAUCAAGUACCCCACCCUUUUCAUAUAUUUUGUUUAUCAAAAAUAUAUACCUUGUCAUAUAUUAAUGAACAAAAAACAGACCUAUAGAUAUAUUUUGAUAUUUUUCAUCUUCUUGGACAUUAGUAUAUGCAUAAAUUUUGAGGUCCCACUCAUUUCACGUUCUUGUUAGAAGCAACGCAGUCGCAAUAAUCAC